CCUACGGGUGGCAGCAGUGAGGAAUAUUGGUCAAUGGGCGCGAGCCUGAACCAGCCAAGCCGCGUGAGGGAAGAAGGUCCUCUGUAUUGUACACCUCUUUUGUCAGGGAACAAACGCCGCGACUAGUCGCCUUCUGAGGGUACCUGAAGAAAAAGCAUCGGCUAACUCCGUGCCAGCAGCCGCGGUAAUACGGAGUAUGCGAGCGUUAUCCGGAUUUAUUGGGUUUAAAGGGUGCGCCGGCGGCCUGUUAAGUCAGCGGUAAAAGUCAGGGGCUAAACCGCUGCGAGCCGGUGAAACUGGUGGUCUUGAGGGGGAGAGAAGUAUGCGGAAUGCGUGGUGUAGCGGUGAAAGGCAUAGAUAUCGUGCAGAACGCCGAUUGCGAAGGCAGCAUACCG
RNAcentral lists this ribosomal RNA (395 nucleotides) under uncultured bacterium. RNAcentral's name for it is "partial 16S ribosomal RNA". It matches the Rfam family "Bacterial small subunit ribosomal RNA", at positions 338 to 731 of the family's 1533-position model. The record is from RNAcentral.